RNAcentral lists this ribosomal RNA (443 nucleotides) under uncultured bacterium. RNAcentral's name for it is "partial 16S ribosomal RNA". It matches the Rfam family "Bacterial small subunit ribosomal RNA", at positions 338 to 795 of the family's 1533-position model. The record is from RNAcentral.
CCUACGGGUGGCAGCAGUGGGGAAUAUUGGGCAAUGGGCGCAAGCCUGACCCAGCAACGCCGCGUGAAGGAAGAAGGCUUUCGGGUUGUAAACUUCUUUUCUCAGGGACGAAGAAAGUGACGGUACCUGAGGAAUAAGCCACGGCUAACUACGUGCCAGCAGCCGCGGUAAUACGGAGGUGGCAAGCGUUAUCCGGAUUUACUGGGUGUAAAGGGCGUGUAGGCGGGAAAGCAAGUCAGAUGUGAAAACCAUGGGCUCAACCUGUGGCCUGCAUUUGAAACUGUUGGUCUUGAGUACUGGAGGGGCAGACGGAAUUCCUCGUGUAGCGGUGAAAUGCGUAGAUAUGAGGAGGAACACCAGUGGCGAAGGCGGUCUGCUGGACAGCAACUGACGCUGAGGCGCGAAAGCGUGGGGAGCAAACAGGAUUAGAUACCCUUGUAGUC